Molecule: long non-coding RNA, 460 nt
Filed under: Setaria viridis
Lineage: Eukaryota; Viridiplantae; Streptophyta; Magnoliopsida; Poales; Poaceae
Description: long non-coding RNA (SVIR_LNC004395)
Source: RNAcentral
UCAUUUUCCUAUUUUUAACAAAGUUUUAAGUAGCAUCUCUCCUAUUGUGAUCUAUUUCAUAUUUUUUGUUCUUAAAGUUGAGUGCAACUCUGUAUGCUAUAUACAAUUUGUUAUUAGGGGUGGAGGGGUGGAUAUGGAGCUAGCUCAUCAACUCGGCUCGGCUCAGCUCGAGCUGGCUCGUUAAGAUAACUAUCCAGCUCGGCUCGGCUCAAUAUCUUAAUGAGCUAGAGGUCCAGCUUGGUUCAGCUCAUUGGCCAGCUUAAGCUGGCACAUUUAGCUCGCGAGCCAGCUUCGAUAGGAUACCGAGGCAGACAAAAUAGAAGGGGAUCAAAAAAACAUGAACCGGAGGAACGCAAAUGGAAUCACAUCUCAAAUUAACACUGACAUUCCAGAUAAAUCUUCGAACAGAUCGAAUAGCACACUAAUACACCACAAGAAAUAGAAUAGAACAAAAAUCAAG